Molecule: non-coding RNA, 962 nt
Organism: Paramuricea clavata
Lineage: Eukaryota; Metazoa; Cnidaria; Anthozoa; Malacalcyonacea; Plexauridae
Source: the annotation of a GenBank genome assembly
UUCGCAACGAAACUUCGGAAUAUUACUAAUUUUGUGAUGCUCUUUCAAGCUGUGAUGAAAUUUUUGUCCAGGUUAGUCUAGAUCAAAAUUUCACUUAAAAGGGGAAAGGUCUAUUUGAGCCAGCAGUACUACGGUGUGACACGAAUCCUUUAAAAAGCAUAGUCUGUCAAGAUACGAUGGUCUGGAAGCCCGGCAAACUUCAAAGCCACAAAAUAGAAGACCUUUGUUUGAUGUUGAACUGUACCUCACUGUACACAAAUCCUUUGUCUCAACUUCAUUAAAUAUUAUUCAUCGUGGUUGCACGUUUCAUCUCAGCUAUCCCUAUUGGACGAUUACUUCAUUAUAUGAAAAUACAAUGAGCUCAAUCACCGUGACCGUGCAUAAAUUAACAUAAACUCCGACAAAACAUAACUCAAUGACUUCUGUUCAGUUUCCAGACAGCAUCACAUCUUGACAGACUAUGAAAAAGUGAUUAGUUACGUUACAAAAUAACUUUCGUAAUUAAUUACCGAAAAAUUUCUCAAAAAGUAAUUAGUAGUUAGUAACGCGUUACUGUAGUAUAUAGCGAAUAUUUACAACACUGCAAUCAAUUUAGAGAUCAGCGACCACCUGUUACACACAUUUCUCCAAAGAUAGACUAAAUACCAAAUGAUCUUAGACCCAGUGCUUUUACUUGAAUGCCAAAAACGUAUUUGCCUACCUGUCAAUGCUCGCUCAACUAUGACUACAGCAAAUAACUCGACAGUUGAUAAUCCGACAUAUAUAUAAUUCUUCAUUAAUACUACUUUGAAAAGGUUAAAUUAAGGCUUAGUUAGCCUAACCAAUUUUUAUAAACCACUGUUUGUGACGAGAUAUCAUAAUGCUAUGUUAAUAAACAAAUAUUGACUGUGAUUUGAUGUUAUCGAUGAUGUAGAACAUUGGAUUAUGUUUAAUACUAAAACAUAUGUAGCAAUUUUAACACU